GCCGGCUUAGCUCAGUUGGUAGAGCUGCUGUUUUGUAAACAGCGGGUCGGGGGUUCGAUUCCUCUAGCCGGCU
Molecule: transfer RNA, 73 nt
Filed under: Candidatus Omnitrophota bacterium
Lineage: Bacteria; Pseudomonadati; Candidatus Omnitrophota
Description: tRNA-Thr
Rfam family: tRNA
About the family: Transfer RNA (tRNA) molecules are approximately 80 nucleotides in length. Their secondary structure includes four short double-helical elements and three loops (D, anti-codon, and T loops).
Source: RNAcentral